This 3354-nucleotide long non-coding RNA is filed under the name Sus scrofa (pig). Its description in RNAcentral is "lncRNA (ENSSSCG00000057630.1)". Lineage: Eukaryota; Metazoa; Chordata; Mammalia; Artiodactyla; Suidae. The record is from RNAcentral.
AUGGGUUAAUAAGGAAAAAGUUCAAGGAAUAAAAGAAAAAAUUGAGCCAGUUAAGGGACUGGGCAUUAAAACAGUUUAUGGAGUCAGGUGUCAGGAUCAAAUAGGGGUAGGUAGGGUAAGCCUCUUUGAGAAGUUAACAUUUCAGAAAAGACUUAAAGGAGGUGAAAGGGAAGCCUGUUCUAAUCAGUAUUAACAGCCAAUGUGAAUGUUCUCUAGUGUUACAUGCCUGGGCUAGUGUUGCUGGGGUGGCAUGGACAGAGGGGUGGUGAGGUUGGGGUGGAGACAGUAGGAAAUAAAGUCAGAAAGGAAGCAGGGGUUAGGUGGUAUAGGUCCUGAGGGGCCUCUCUAAGGACUCAGUUUGGAGGGCUGAGCCACAGUUUUGGGUCUCACUUUCUCCAAUCCAGGUACAAAGAAGGAGCAAGACAUUUAUGAUUAUACCAAUAAGACACAGGGUUGCAGUGACACUAUGUGUGGGGUUAAUCAGUGAGCAAGUAUCACCCUUGGGGCUUUUCACAUAAAUGCAACAAAAAGCAAACAAUCAGGAGAGACAGUUAUGCAAAUAGGGAACUCCAUUCUAGGAAUGGAGAGCCAACCAGAUUGCACUCAUGUGUGGCAUAAUCAAACUGUCAGAGUGCUUUUGCUGUAAGUCUGCAUCUGGGCAGGCAGUACCUAGAACUGCAGGUUCAGAGCCCUGUCUGUCACUUAUCUUGAGCUUCUGUGGAAAAUAAAGAUCAAAUAUCUCUGAAGCAAUGUUUAGUGUCAUAGCUCUUUCUGCAAGAGAUAGGGUUUUUUUUUUUUUUCCCACCCACUAAAUCCUUUGUACUAUAUUAUCAUCUGAGUCUCCACUGUGAGAUUUUCUUGAGGUUCUUUGGACAUGUAAGUACAGGCAGAUUGGCUGUGGCUAAGAAUAAAUCUCUUUGGUUGGGGCCUCAAUAAAUAGCUGUUAGUCAAAGAUCCCAUUACCUCUUUUGUGGUGUGACACUUUACAAGUCAUCUUUUGUGCCUUUGAGAGGAUGCCUUUAGUAAUAAUAAUACCUACACUAGAUACUGUUUGUUUUUUCCCUCCUUAUGCCAGAUUAUAUUCCAGUGUUUUACAUAGGUCAAAUCCUUCUCUCUUUCAAUAACUUUAUCAGCUGGGCUAUAUGCUUAUUAUCUUCACUUUGAAGAUAGGGAUAGUGUAUAUGCCUCAGGUAGGUUAAACAACUUGCUCGUCAGCACACUAGCAAACUCAACAGAAGGCCUUAAACCAAGAGUCUGGCUCCACAUGUCGUGUUUUCCAUCCUCAUGAUUUGCUGUCCCAAGAGGGAAAAAAAGGGUAAGAAAACUAAGAUUACCUUAGGGUAUAUUCUUAUUUCAACUAUGCUAUAAUAAUUCAAGACACCUCCAGAAUUCUCUUUUCAGAAACUCUUCAAGACACGUUUAUUUUAAAUAUGUUCAGGGUUAUUAAAACUCUGUUUAGGGAGGUAAAGUUAACACUUGAAAAUGAUCAGUGUCAGCAUCAUUAUAAACUGACAAAAGAGGCAUUUCUAUCAGGGUAUUCUAAAAAUGUGUUUGACCAUAGAAGAUAAUAUUCAAAUCAAGAUAUGACCUCAUAAGCUGACUAACUUUAAAAGGAAAGAACUCAUUGAAUGUUUCCUCUGUUGUUAGAAAAUCAGUCACAGGAACUAUUGGUCAUGUGAUGCUGGAUCCCUCACGACUUGUUCUUAAUGAAGACUCUUAUUAUCUCAGGAACAGGGUCCCAAGUGACCUCCAAAUGGGUAGGCCUUUCCUUGGUAGCAGUGCUUCAAGGCAAGCAGGGUUUAACGUUCCUGCCUACACUCUCAGGUGGCCUCCCUAUGUUGGUGCAAAAUCCAAAUGGGUGCAAAAGUGAUUCCUUUAAAGGAAGACUACACAGGACAAUUUUCUUUAGUCUAUGUGCUAAUGAUGCAUAAACCUAGCCUGAUAGAGCCACUUAUUUUGAUUGCAGUAACUAGAUGCUUAGAACAACUGAAUCAUUUAACAUCUAAGUUCCCUUUUCUCUCAAACAUUGGCUAAUGAAUAAAUUAAGUUUCCCAUGAUAUUUUAGAGGAAAUUGUAAUGGUUGGUAUGAAUUUUAUGUGAUAGUGCAUAAACUCAACAACAUCCCUGUGAGGCAGAUAAGCAGCCAGAUCUUUGCAUCCUGGUUACUGAGGCUCAUAGUGGUGAAUUGACAUUUUCAAAGGCACAGGAGAUAAAUAUCAGAACAGGAAACAGAAUCCAGCACUUAAGUUGUUAUUCAGAUGGUGGGUAGAAUUGAGCACCUUUUAAAUCAAAGGUUGGAAUUCCCGUAGGAUCACCAGACACUUUCAGAAGACACUGUGUGAAUCAUCACAUGCAAAUAUGGUCCCAUCAGAAAACAUACAUCACUUGUUGCUUGGUGAUAGAAGAUGAAAAUCAAUCAGAAAGGAGGACUGUGGGAAUAAGAUCCUAACCCAUUAUUUGCAGGCUGAUUUGAAAAUACCAAUGGGAAGUCAGAGGGAAGGUAAAAUUUCAAUUCGGAGAGAGUAGGACCAACUUGUUUCUUGACUGAGAUGAGAAAUCAUUUUUCACCCUCACCUGUGACACAAACUACUCAUUUACUAGCUGCUAGUUUACGUUCUCUGUAUUCUGUCCACAUAGUAGCAUCAGCUGACACAUGGACCAGAAAGGAAGAGAAAGAGAACAAGUUGGCAGGGAGUCAAUAUAUUUCAGUGUUUUAUUACUACAAGAGUCUAGUAGCAUUUAGUGGGUAAGUCUGAACAGAGAAUGACUAUUUCUAAAGUGACUCAGUUAUCAGUAGAAAUGAUUAAAAACACAACAAAGAAAUCUAUGGAUUAAUUAGCAGGUCUGUGGUGGUUGAAUAGCUAUUACUAAAUUACAUGGUUGGCAUAUAAGAGAAAGGAUUAAUCUUCUGUGUUUUCCGGGUUGGUUGAUGUGUGUUAGAAUUCCUAGUCAGUGAGAAGAAAUUCUCAUUGAUUGGUUGAUAGGUAAUGAGAUCAGAAAAGAUAGUAUCUGGAUUUCCUUCAAUUCUACACAUUUAGGACUUAAUCUUAUUUUCAGUCAGUGAUACAUCCUUCUUGUUAAUGUUACUGACAGUGAGAUUUGAAGACUUGAUUAAUAAUAAAGAAGAGUUUCUAUUGUGGCUCAGUGGUAAUGAGCCCAUGAGGACGCAAGUUCGAUCUCUAGCCUCACUCAGUGGGUUAAGGAUCCCGCAUUGCCAUGAGCUGGGGCGUAGGUUGUAGAUGCAGCUCAGAUCUGGUGUUGCUGUGGCUGUGGUGUAGGCCAGUGGCUGUAGCUCAGAUUUUCUUCUACCCCUAGCCAGGGAACCUCCAUAUGCCACAGGUGCAGCCCUAAAAA